CCCCGGGCUCAACCUGGGAACUGCGUUNUGAACUGGGUGACUAGAGUGUGUCAGAGGGAGGUAGAAUUCCACGUGUAGCAGUGAAAUGCGUAGAGAUGUGGAGGAAUACCGAUGGCGAAGGCAGCCUCCUGGGAUAACACUGACGUCCAUGCCCGAAAGCGUGGGUAGCAAACAGGAUUAGAUACCCUGGUAGUNCACGCCCUAAACGAUGUCGAUUAGCUGUUGGGCAGCAUGACUGCUUAGUAGCGAAGCUAACGCGUGAAAUCGACCGCCUGGGGAGUACGGUCGCAAGAUUAAAACUCAAAGGAAUUGACGGGGACCCGCACAAGCGGUGGAUGAUGUGGACUAAUUCGAUGCAACGCGAAGAACCUUACCUGGUCUUGACAUGUACGGAACCCUCCAGAGACGGAGGGGUGCCUUCGGGAGCCGCAACACAGGUGCUGCAUGGCUGUCGUCAGCUCGUGUCGUGAGAUGUUGGGUUAAGUCCCGCAACGAGCGCAACCCUUGUCAUUAGUUGCCAUCAUUAAGUUGGGCACUCUAAUGAGACUGCCGGUGACAAGCCGGAGGAAGGUGGGGAUGACGUCAAGUCCUCAUGGCCCUUAUGACCAGGGCUUCACACGUCAUACAAUGGUCGGUACAGAGGGUAGCCAAGCCGCGAGGUGGAGCCAAUCUCACAAAACCGAUCGUAGUCCGGAUUGCACUCUGCAACUCGAGUGCAUGAAGUCGGAAUCGCUAGUAAUCGCAGGUCAGCAUACUGCGGUGAAUACGUUCCCGGGUCUUGCACACACCG
RNAcentral lists this ribosomal RNA (790 nucleotides) under uncultured bacterium. RNAcentral describes it as "bacterial SSU rRNA". It matches the Rfam family "Bacterial small subunit ribosomal RNA", at positions 601 to 1392 of the family's 1533-position model. The record is from RNAcentral.